Molecule: ribosomal RNA, 657 nt
Filed under: uncultured marine bacterium
Lineage: Bacteria
Description: bacterial SSU rRNA
Rfam family: Bacterial small subunit ribosomal RNA
Source: RNAcentral
AGAGUUUGAUCAUGGCUCAGGAUGAACGCUGGCGGCGUGCUUAAUACAUGCAAGUCGAACGAACCUUCGGGUUAGUGGCGGACGGGUGAGUAACGCGUGAGAAUCUGCCCUCAGGAGGGGGACAACAGCUGGAAACGGCUGCUAAUACCCCAUAUGCCGAAAGGUGAAACGAUUUUUCGCCUGAGGAUGAGCUCGCGUCUGAUUAGCUGGUUGGUGGGGUAACGGCCUACCAAGGCUUCGAUCAGUAGCUGGUCUGAGAGGACGAUCAGCCACACUGGGACUGAGACACGGCCCAGACUCCUACGGGAGGCAGCAGUAGGGAAUUUUCCGCAAUGGGCGAAAGCCUGACGGAGCAACGCCGCGUGAGGGACUAAGGCCUUUGGGCUGUAAACCUCUUUUCUCAAGGAAGAAGAUCUGACGGUACUUGAGGAGUAAGCCACGGCUAAUUCCGUGCCAGCAGCCGCGGUAAUACGGGAGUGGCAAGCGUUAUCCGGAAUUAUUGGGCGUAAAGCGUCCGCAAGGCGGCCCAGAAAGUCUGUUGUUAAAGCGUGUAGCUCAACUCCAUCUCUGCACUGCAACUGCUAGGCUUGAUUGUGCCUGGGGUAUGAGGGAAUUACCGGUGUAUCGGCGAAAUGCCUUAAUAUCGGGGAGGAACAC